GGCCUCAUACUUAUGUAGUCAGUAUUGCUUACCUGGUUCUUUUAACUCCCAAGUGCAGAAGCUUUGCUUCGCUCAAACCACAAAAAACCCAAAAAACUUAGAAAUCAGUAGCAAGUGAACCUGAUUCUAAUGUGGGUUACUGUGAGUUGUAACAUCAAUUUAAUCCCACUGAGAUUAAUGAAACACAACAGAAGAAGUGAAAAGCAUCAGAAACUUCUCUGUAUAUCCUUACAUGGAGCUCCAUGCAAAAGGGAAGUUUCUUGUAGGGACCAUCCAGCAGUCGGUAGAAAUCUCGUGAUUCUGACCACUAUAUGGAAGCAAUUCUCAUACAUGCAAUCAUCUGGAGUACAGAGAUUUACAAAUGCGUAACUAUGCAUCAGAAUAUGUUCAUCUUAACAGAAGAAGCUGGGACAAAUCAAUGCCUGCAUCAUUAUGAAGCUAAGUAUCCUUAUUAUACGCAGAGAUUUGCUGGUAGUUAAGUCUGAGCUUCUGCAAAUCUGCCUAAUCAUAUUUAGCCCAUACCUUGCUAGAUAGAAAUCUAGAGCACUUUCUCUUUGCAGCAUAGUUUUAUUCACAAAUGCAUGCUCAUUCAGAUUAGAAAUGCUACAGGCUUCUAUAUAGAUUUACCUAAAAACAAUGUACUGUAUUGUUGAAGUCAAAUAUAUGGAGGGAAGGAGGCUGGGGAAUAUGUAGAGUUCCAUCUCAUUUUUCAUUUCAAGUUUUCCUUCCCACUUUGUUUACAGUAACAGUAAUAAUUAAUUACAUGAACAACAGUUCUGAACUGUCUGGUUUAUUCAGUGAAAUUAUGUUAUCGGUUUUCAUACUGCCAGAACUCAUUUUCUAUCUUUGUACAGGAUUCAGGUCUCAGAAUAUAUUGUAGGAGAAAAAAAGGAAGGGUGAGCAGCCCACCAUGGAUGAUGGAUUAUUAGAGAUGGCCUUAGAGAACCCAAUAAUCCAGGUGUUUGUACUACCAUGUAGAUAAAGGAGAUUCUGUUCAAAGUACAAAGUAAGAGUGUUCAUAAAUUAACAAAGUAUGAUUUUUAGUUGAGUGAAAAAACUUGACUGACAGUUAACAGUUACUUUAAGUAUAUGAUAACGUGGCUGACAUUUGUAAUCUUCCAUCUGAAGAUCAAAACUGCCAAGUUUAAAAUGCAUAAGUAUCUGACAAAUAUGUAUAUACUAAUGCCAAGACAGGGCUGCUGUGUAGACCUGAUCAGGCAACCUUACAAUCAAGCAUACAAAACUAACAGCUAUGUUACUUUCCUCUGUUCAUAGUCUUUGAACAAGACCAUGAUUAGAAAUAGGGAUUAACUUCAGUAACUUUUAAAAAUGUUAAAAAUAACAUGCACUGAAAUAGAGACUUAGUGCUGUCUAGCAGAUUGCAAAGUGUGUGAAUUCCUAUUUAAGAAUCCCUUCAGAAUUAUUCAGACAAAACAUUACAGAACAAUUUCUACUACAUAGCAUGUAUUUACUUUUUAACACAAUAGAAAGCAGUAAGCUCUUAGUACUAUUUGCAGGUUACGUUUCUUACACAUUGCACUUUACUGGUAUGUCUGGUAUAAGACAUCUGGAAAAUGCAUGGAGACCAAAAAUUACUUAAGAGUAGCACUGUGUUUGUCAUUAAAACCCUUUAACUCCUCUUUGAAAGAUCACGAGCAAUUCUGUACAUGUUAAUGAGGUUCUCUUUCACAGCAGUUUCAGUAAAACACUCCAUACACUUUUGAAUGCUGUUACAAAACUGAAGUUCAAGCAGAAAAUUAAAAACUCUCCAAAACUGACAGUAGAUUAGAUACUUCCCAGCAUUGAAAUUAUCUCAAGUAGUUCUUAUAAUGAAAUUCUAAGUGAUAUCCAUUCUUAUGCUAAUACUUUUGCACUUAACGGGUUCAUUGAUAAUACUCAUUAGAUUCAUUUACUCAGCCAGCACCUACACAACAGCAGUUUAUUUUCAAUAUGCUUAAAGGCAGCAAUAUGUCCUCUAAUAACUAUAUAACAUACACUGAAAGGAAAUAGGAAGUAAUAAAUAAAAAUUGAGAGAAAGAAUACCAUCUACUUGGAAUCAUAUACUCUUUAGAAACAACUGAAAACCAGCUAUAUAUAUAUAUAUAUAUUAUAUACGUAUAGUACUGCUGCAUGCAACAUUUCCAAGUAAUUACCAUAAAUCACAAAUAUGCCUAUGUAAAAGAAACUACAAAGCAGAACCAUUAUGUUAGUGGAAUUCUCCAGGGUGGUUCACGAUAUGCAACUUUGAUAUAUCCUUGCCAGGUAAUUGGUAAGCAUUUCUAACAUUUCAUCCUUUCUAAGCACUGAAAAGGUAAUAUUAUUUAACUGGUACACAGGUGUUAACACGAGGUCAUAAAAUCCAGGGAGCUUACCCUCGGUCACCAGAAAGAAGCCCAGAUCCAAAAGUUAUUUCCAACGUCCAGACAAGAAAUCUGAAAAAGAGAAUAACAAAGGGUUUGUGACAAACCUGACACACAGUACUCCCAAAGAAGUAAAAUCAAUUGUGACAUUUUUCAUUUAUUUGUAAAUGCCUCUUCAGCAGCAUGCUCACUCAGAACGACAACUGACUCUUAUAGAAUAGGGGAGGUGAUGGUAAAAUAGAGAAAUCCUGACAGUUACUUUAAUGAGAUUCUGCAUUAGGACCACUCUAACACUUUCCUUCAACAAGGAGUAUGCCCUUCGCUUUCAAUCUGCUACUCCCCAAUUUGGAAAGCAUUAGCACUAUGAAAAACUCCACU
Long non-coding RNA from Gallus gallus (chicken), 2738 nucleotides. RefSeq lists it as uncharacterized. The transcript has 3 exons. The record is from RefSeq and is a predicted model, not a curated record. NCBI's taxonomy places the organism in Eukaryota, Metazoa, Chordata, Aves, Galliformes, Phasianidae.